UACGGAGGAUGCGAGCGUUAUCCGGAUUUAUUGGGUUUAAAGGGAGCGCAGACGGGUCGUUAAGUCAGCUGUGAAAGCUUGGGGCUCAACCUUAAAAUUGCAGUUGAUACUGGCGUCCUUGAGUGCGGUUGAGGUGUGCGGAAUUCGUGGUGUAGCGGUGAAAUGCUUAGAUAUCACGAAGAACUCCGAUUGCGAAGGCAGCACACUAAGCCGUAACUGACGUUCAUGCUCGAAAGUGUGGGUAUCAAACAGG
Molecule: ribosomal RNA, 253 nt
Filed under: uncultured bacterium
Lineage: Bacteria
Description: partial 16S ribosomal RNA
Rfam family: Bacterial small subunit ribosomal RNA
Source: RNAcentral